This 492-nucleotide ribosomal RNA is filed under the name uncultured bacterium. Its description in RNAcentral is "partial 16S ribosomal RNA". It matches the Rfam family "Bacterial small subunit ribosomal RNA", at positions 29 to 507 of the family's 1533-position model. The record is from RNAcentral.
AGUGAACGCUGGCGGUAGGCCUAACACAUGCAAGUCGAACGGCAGCACAGUAAGAGCUUGCUCUUACGGGUGGCGAGUGGCGGACGGGUGAGGAAUACAUCGGAAUCUACUUUUUCGUGGGGGAUAACGUCGGGAAACUUACGCUAAUACCGCAUACGAUCUAAGGGUGAAAGCAGGGGAUCUUCGGAUCUUGCGCGAUUGAAUGAGCCGAUGUCGGAUUAGCUAGUUGGCGGGGUAAAGGCCCACCAAGGCGACGAUCCGUAGCUGGUCUGAGAGGAUGAUCAGCCACACUGGAACUGAGACACGGUCCAGACUCCUACGGGAGGCAGCAGUGGGGAAUAUUGGACAAUGGGCGCAACCCUGAUCCAGCCAUGCCGCGUGGGUGAAGAAGGCCUUCGGGUUGUAAAGCCCUUUUGUUGGGAAAGAAAAGCAGCAGGUUAAUACCCCGCUGUUCUGACGGUACCCAAAGAAUAAGCACCGGCUAACUUCGUG